UACGUAGGGUGCGAGCGUUAAUCGGAAUUACUGGGCGUAAAGCGUGCGCAGGCGGUUCGUUAAGUCAGAUGUGAAAGCCCCGGGCUCAACCUGGGAACUGCAUUUGAAACUGGCGGGCUUGAGUGUGGCAGAGGGGGGUGGAAUUCCGCGUGUAGCAGUGAAAUGCGUAGAGAUCGGGAAGAACAUCAGUGGCGAAGGCGGUCUGCUGGGCCGUUGCUGACGCUGAGGCGCGACAGCGUGGGGAGCAAACAGG
Molecule: ribosomal RNA, 253 nt
Filed under: uncultured bacterium
Lineage: Bacteria
Description: partial 16S ribosomal RNA
Rfam family: Bacterial small subunit ribosomal RNA
Source: RNAcentral